Molecule: ribosomal RNA, 254 nt
Filed under: uncultured bacterium
Lineage: Bacteria
Description: partial 16S ribosomal RNA
Rfam family: Bacterial small subunit ribosomal RNA
Source: RNAcentral
UACGUAGGGGGCAAGCGUUGUCCGGAUUUAUUGGGCGUAAAGAGCGUGUAGGCGGUUAUGCAGGUCCGCUGUGAAAACUGGAGGCUUAACCUCCAGACGUCGGUGGAAACCGUAUGACUAGAGUCCGGGAGAGGAGAGUGGAAUUCCUGGUGUAGCGGUGAAAUGCGCAGAUAUCAGGAAGAACACCCGUGGCGAAAGCGGCUCUCUGGAACGGUACUGACGCUGAGACGCGAAAGCGUGGGGGAGCGAACAGG